GCCAGACUCCUACGGGAGGCAGCAGUGGGGGAUAUUGCACAAUGGGGGAAACCCUGAUGCAGCGACGCCGCGUGGGUGAAGAAGCGCCUCGGCGCGUAAAGCCCUGUCAGCAGGGAAGAAAAUGACGGUACCUGAAGAAGAAGCCCCGGCUAACUACGUGCCAGCAGCCGCGGUAAUACGUAGGGGGCAAGCGUUGUCCGGAAUUACUGGGUGUAAAGGGAGCGUAGGCGGGACUGCAAGUUGGGUGUCAAAUCUACCGGCUCAACCGGUAGCCGCACUCAAAACUGCAGUUCUUGAGUGAAGUAGAGGCAGGCGGAAUCCCUAGUGUAGCGGUGAAAUGCGUAGAUAUUAGGAGGAACACCAGUGGCGAAGGCGGCCUGCUGGGCUUUUACUGACGCUGAGGCUCGAAAGCGUGGGGAGCAAACAGGAUUAGAUACCCCAGUAC
This 445-nucleotide ribosomal RNA is filed under the name uncultured bacterium. Its description in RNAcentral is "bacterial SSU rRNA". It matches the Rfam family "Bacterial small subunit ribosomal RNA", at positions 330 to 793 of the family's 1533-position model. The record is from RNAcentral.